AACGAACGCUGGCGGCAUGCCUAACACAUGCAAGUCGAACGAGACCUUCGGGUCUAGUGGCGCACGGGUGCGUAACGCGUGGGAACCUGCCCUUAGGUUCGGAAUAACUCCCCGAAAGGGGUGCUAAUACCGGAUAAUGUCUUCGGACUAAAGAUUUAUCGCCUUUGGAUGGGCCCGCGUUGGAUUAGCUAGUUGGUAGGGUAAAAGCCUACCAAGGCGACGAUCCAUAGCUGGUCUGAGAGGAUGAUCAGCCACACUGGGACUGAGACACGGCCCAGACUCCUACGGGAGGCAGCAGUGGGGAAUAUUGGACAAUGGGCGAAAGCCUGAUCCAGCAAUGCCGCGUGAGUGAUGAAGGGCUUAGGGUUGUAAAGCUCUUUUACCCGGGAUGAUAAUGACAGUACCGGGAGAAUAAGCUCCGGCUAACUCCGUG
Molecule: ribosomal RNA, 433 nt
Filed under: uncultured bacterium
Lineage: Bacteria
Description: partial 16S ribosomal RNA
Rfam family: Bacterial small subunit ribosomal RNA
Source: RNAcentral